Molecule: non-coding RNA, 45 nt
Filed under: Schistosoma mansoni
Lineage: Eukaryota; Metazoa; Platyhelminthes; Trematoda; Strigeidida; Schistosomatidae
Source: RNAcentral
AUGUACCUGACGAGUCCCAAAUAGAACAAAACGUACGUCCUGGAU